RNAcentral lists this ribosomal RNA (404 nucleotides) under uncultured bacterium. RNAcentral describes it as "bacterial SSU rRNA". It matches the Rfam family "Bacterial small subunit ribosomal RNA", at positions 976 to 1380 of the family's 1533-position model. The record is from RNAcentral.
CGGGAUUGAAAUGUAGAUGACCGCUCCUGAAAGGGAGUUUUCCUUCGGGACAUCUAUGUAGGUGCUGCAUGGUUGUCGUCAGCUCGUGCCGUGAGGUGUCGGCUUAAGUGCCAUAACGAGCGCAACCCCUGUCUACGGUUGCCAUCAGGUGAUGCUGGGAACUCCGUAGAGACUGCCGUCGUAAGGCGUGAGGAAGGUGGGGAUGACGUCAAAUCAGCACGGCCCUUACAUCCGGGGCGACACACGUGUUACAAUGGGGGGUACAGAAGGCCGCUACCCGGCGACGGGAUGCUAAUCUUUAAAACCUCUCUCAGUUCGGAUCGGAGUCUGCAACCCGACUCCGUGAAGCUGGAUUCGCUAGUAAUCGCGCAUCAGCCAUGGCGCGGUGAAUACGUUCCCGGGCC